This 3190-nucleotide ribosomal RNA is filed under the name Candidatus Saccharimonadota bacterium. RNAcentral describes it as "23S ribosomal RNA". It matches the Rfam family "Bacterial large subunit ribosomal RNA". Lineage: Bacteria; Candidatus Saccharimonadota. The record is from RNAcentral.
UAAAAAGGUACUCAAGGGCACAUAAUGGAUGCCUAGACGUAUAUUACCGAUGAAGGACGUGGAAGACUGCGAAAAGUCUUGGGGAGCUGUCAUCAAGCUUUGAUCCAGGAAUAUCCGAAUGGGGAAACCCGGUAUGAGUCAUGUCAUAUCACCUGCAUCUGAAUACAUAGGAUGUUUGGCGGGAACCAACUGAACUGAAACAUCUUAGUAGGUUGAGGAAAAGAGAAUAAACAAUGAUUCCGGAAGUAGUGGCGAGCGAAACCGGAUGAGCGCAAACCUUUUAAGUUUUAUACCGAUUUAUCGGGAUAAUAAGUUUACAGACGAAUACUUAAGAGGGGUUGUGAGGAGUGUGAAGACCAGGUAAGAGCUGUUGAUUUAUCAACAUUUCUUACUUGCGAGAUCUCUCUGUAAUGGAGGUCGUAAGGUAAGAAAACUGCAACGCUAGCAGAAUAGUGUGGAAUAGCUAGUGAAACAACGUGAAAGCCGUGUACGCGAAAGCGUUGCUGACCUUAUAUCACAUUUACUCGAGUAGGACGGGGCACGAGAAACCCUGUUUGAAUCCGGCAGGACCACCUGCCAACGCUAAAUAUAAUAUACGAUCGAUAGUGAACAAGUACAGUGAUGGAAAGGUGAAAAGAACCCCGGGAGGGGAGUGAAAUAGAUCCUGAAAUUAUGUGCCUACAAGGAGUCGGAGCAGAUUUAUUCUGUGACGGCGUGCUUUUUGUAGAACGAUCCAGCGAGUUAAUUUUAUGUGCAAGGUUAAGUCAUUUGACGGAGCCAUAGUGAAAGCGAGCCUGAAUAGGGCGAAUUAAGUACAUAGGAUUAGACCCGAAACCGGGUGACCUAUCCAUGGGCAGGCUGAAGCUACUGUAAUAGGUAGUGAAGGGCCGAACCACCGCACGCUGCAAAGUGCUUGGAUGACCUGUGGAUAGAGGUGAAAUGCCAAUCGAACUCGGAGAUAGCUGGUUCUCCUCGAAAUAGCUUUAGGGCUAGCGUCAUGUAUACUAGCCAACAGGGGUAGAGCUCUGUAAAGGACUGGGGUCCUCACGGAUACCCACCCUUAACAAACUACGAAUACUGUUGGUGGAACCAUGGCAGUUAGAACGGCGGGGCUAAGCUCGUCGCUCGAAAGGGAAACAGCCCAGACCAUCGUCUAAGGUCCCAAAAUGUACACUCAGUGGGAAACAAGGUGAGAUUUCUUAAACAGCUAGGAUGUUGGCUUAGAAGCAGCCAUUCAUUUAAAGUGUGCGUAACAGCUCACUAGUCAAGAGAUCUUGCGUGGAAAAUGUAACGGGGCUAAAGUGUACUACCGAAGACAUGGAUAUACAAUUUAUUGUAUGUGGUAGAGGAGCGUUCCUGUCAGCAGUGAAGUCAGAUUGGAAAGUCUGGUGGAGCGGCAGGAAGUGAGAAUGCUGGAAUGAGUAACCAUAAGAGGGGUGAGAAUCCCCUCGGCCGAAAGAGUAAGGUUUCCUGGACUACGGUAAUCGAUCCAGGGUUAGUCGGGCCUAAGCCGAGGCGCAUAGCGUAGGCGAUGGACAUCAGGUUAAUAUUCCUGAACCGGUUAUAUCUUAUACACUGUUCACGGCGGAAUAGUCAGAGCGGAUUCAUGGUAUGUAUCCGUCUAACUUGGCAGGAAUGCUAAAGGAAUGAAAGUUUUGAUUUAUCAAAAUGAUUCUGGUGAAGACGCUGGCUAGAAAAGCAGGUGUAUGCGUGGAUAUAGCCGCCCGUACCGCAAACCAACACAGGUACUCGGGUCGAGAAGACCAAGGCUUACGAGAGAACCUUCGCUAAGGAACUCGGCAAUACAGCGACCGUAACUUCGGGAUAAGGUCUGCCCCCACAUCAUUUGAUGUGAGCCGCGUUCGGAUAAUUUGACGAUUAUCAACUUGGUGACAGGUGGUUAGAAUAUUGAGUACGUAAAUGUCGUGUUUUCGAACAUGAUAUUUCGCGGAAAAUCCUUUUUUAUAAUCACAAUUUUUUACUGAGACAAUCAAAUCAUAUGAUUAAUUCUGGACGCGUGCACUCUCAUAUCUGAUGAUGUGGGGGCCGCAGCUAAAGAGCCCAAGCAACUGUUUAUCAAAAACACAGGUCUCUGCUAACACGAAAGUGGAUGUAUAGGGGCUGACUCCUGCCCAGUGCUGGAAGGUUAAGGGGAGUGCUUUACGGUGCGAACUGAAGCCCCAGUGAACGGCGGCGGUAACUAUAACCGUCCUAAGGUAGCGAAAUUCCUUGUCAGGUAAGUUCUGACCCGCACGAAUGGAGUAAUGAUUUGGGCACUGUCUCGGCGAAGGACUCGGUGAAAGUGCAUUGGCGGUAAAGAUGCCGUCUGUCCGUACCAGGACGAGAAGACCCCGUGGAGCUUUACUACAGCUUUGCAUUGAUCCGGGUUACAACAUGUGUAGCAUAGGUGGGAGCCUUUGAAGCAGAUGCGCUAGCAUUUGUGGAGGCGUCGGUGAAAUACCACCCUUGUUGUGAUCUUGAUCUUACUGUUACCGUUAUCCGGUAAUAGGACCGUGCAUGGUGGGUAGUUUAACUGGGGCGGUUGCCUCCCAAAGAGUAGCGGAGGCGUUCAAAGGUUGGCUAGCUUCGGAUGGAAAUCGAAGUGAUAGUGUAUACGCAAAAGCCAGCUUGACUGUGAGGAGUACAUUCCAAUCAGAGACGAAAGUCGGAGUAAGUGAACCGCAUUAAGUACAUUUGUACAUGAAUGUGGGAUCGAAUGCGAAAACGGAUAAAAGUUACCCCGGGGAUAACAGGCUUAUAGCGCCCAAUAGUUCACAUAGACGGCGCUGUUUGGCACCUCGAUGUCGGCUCAUCACAUCCUGGAGGGGGAGCACCUUCCAAGGGUUCGGCUGUUCGCCGAUUAAAGUGGUACGCGAGCUGGGUUCAGAACGUCGUGAGACAGUUCGGUUUAUAUCCGGUAUGGACGAUAAGAAAUUUGAGAAGAUCUACCCCUAGUACGAGAGGACCGGGGCGGACGAACCUCUGGUGUAUCGAUUGUGGCCACCUGCCGCAUUGUCGAGUAGCUACGUUCGGAAUGGAUAAGCGCUGAAAGCAUAUUAAGCGCGAAGCCAACUUCAAGAUUAGAUUUCUCUAUGAGGACACAGAAAGACUAUCUGUUUGAUAGGCGCAAGGUAGAAGUGCGGUAACGUAUGGAGCUGAAGCGUACUAAUAGUCCCAUUGCCUUUUUAUG